RNAcentral lists this long non-coding RNA (442 nucleotides) under Setaria italica (foxtail millet). RNAcentral describes it as "long non-coding RNA (SITA_LNC004900)". Lineage: Eukaryota; Viridiplantae; Streptophyta; Magnoliopsida; Poales; Poaceae. The record is from RNAcentral.
GCGCAAUCUCGUGGCAGUUCUUUGAUCUCCCUUAGCACCAUUUUGCAUCGUCGGGUCCUGCAUCAUCUCCGGCCUUCUCUCUUCAUGUUUGACCAACAGUUUGCCGGCGAGAUGCGCGCAAAUCCCAAUCUUGCGGCACUCAUCCUUGUUCUCCUUGACCGUCUCCACUAACUUCUUGAACUCUAGUGCCAGUUGAACGAUAUGGACUGGGGUGGGGAUCAAUAAAUACAUCGCCCGCAAUCGCCUCACCUCCCCUGAUGUCCACGAUGAACCAACAAAUCAUAGCAAGUGAUGAAGUGGGAAAACGAUUCAAGACCUUGGUGGAAUGAAAAAACCAAAAUAGUGACAUGAGUUUCUUGCCUGAGUCAGCAAUCAGAGAAUGAAAUCGGCGCCUAGGGUCUGCAGAGCACCGCAGACCUGGGUGAGGGCGACGAGAAGCGGC